This 425-nucleotide ribosomal RNA is filed under the name uncultured bacterium. RNAcentral describes it as "bacterial SSU rRNA". It matches the Rfam family "Bacterial small subunit ribosomal RNA", at positions 354 to 796 of the family's 1533-position model. The record is from RNAcentral.
GUGGGGAAUCUUGCGCAAUGGGCGAAAGCCUGACGCAGCCAUGCCGCGUGAAUGAUGAAGGUCUUAGGAUUGUAAAAUUCUUUCACCGGGGACGAUAAUGACGGUACCCGGAGAAGAAGCUACGGCUAACUUCGUGCCAGCAGCCGCGGUAAUACGAAGGGGGCUAGCGUUGCUCGGAAUUACUGGGCGUAAAGGGCGCGUAGGCGGACAGCUUAGUCAGAGGUGAAAGCCCAGGGCUCAACCUUGGAAUUGCCUUUGAUACUGGCUGUCUUGAGUUUGGGAGAGGUGAGUGGAACUCCGAGUGUAGAGGUGAAAUUCGUAGAUAUUCGGAAGAACACCAGUGGCGAAGGCGACUCACUGGCCCAAUACUGACGCUGAGGCGCGAAAGCGUGGGGAGCAAACAGGAUUAGAAACCCCAGUAGUCC